This 301-nucleotide signal recognition particle RNA is filed under the name Phascolarctos cinereus (koala). Its description in RNAcentral is "Metazoan signal recognition particle RNA (ENSPCIG00000019306.2)". It matches the Rfam family "Metazoan signal recognition particle RNA". From Rfam's summary of the family: The signal recognition particle (SRP) is a universally conserved ribonucleoprotein. It is involved in the co-translational targeting of proteins to membranes. The eukaryotic SRP consists of a 300-nucleotide 7S RNA and six proteins: SRPs 72, 68, 54, 19, 14, and 9. Lineage: Eukaryota; Metazoa; Chordata; Mammalia; Diprotodontia; Phascolarctidae. The record is from RNAcentral.
UCUGGGCAUGGUGGUGCAUCCCUUUAGUUCUUGCUGCUGGGGAGACAGGCUGGUGGACCUCUUGAGUUCAGAAGUUCUAAGCUAUAGUAGGGCUAAAGGUAAUCAGGCGCCUGCAGUGUGGUCACCAAUAUAGUGAACCUCCAGGAGCAGGGGGGCUACCAGGCUGCCUAAGGAGGGAGAGAAACGGCCCAGGUUAGAAAAAUGGAGCCGGUUAAAGCUUCUGUGUUGACCAGCAUUUGCAUGGAGCCUAAGAAUGGCUGCUGCAUUUCUAGCGUGAGUAAGAUUGGGAGACCCAAUCUCA